Misgurnus anguillicaudatus (oriental weatherfish) is the source of this 591-nucleotide non-coding RNA. Lineage: Eukaryota; Metazoa; Chordata; Actinopteri; Cypriniformes; Cobitidae. The record is from RefSeq and is a predicted model, not a curated record.
UUGUGGAAUUGCAUUAUUAGUAAUCGAUUGGUUUAGUCUCGCGCCAGGUGUUCAUGAUGGGCAAGGGCGAGAACAACGGUCGUGAAGGAAAAUCGCCUCAGAGUUUACGGUUUUAAUAAUAUCGCUUUUCACGGGACAAAAGCAUUUUGUCACAACUUCUACAAUCAACGAUGGGGGUGCAACAGAAGCUCUGCAUGAGAUCUAAAGAGGUAAAGCUUCAAAUUCAAGUCAGUGGUCUGCGAAUAAAGCCAUCCUUAGAUUUUCAGAGUGUGAUUCACAGCUCCGAAGACCACAGAAACAAGUAAGAGCAAAGUUUAGUUUUUAUGGACAUUAAAUUGCGAGAAAAAACAUUAUUUUACCAGGCCCCGUUGAAGUUAAAGCAGUCACAUAAAUGCAUCAGGUCAAAGGUUCAAUGUCCUCAAGUCUUUUGUGGCCAAUCAGCACUUCUACCCCAGUGUGUUGUUUUUCUGAUGAAAUUUAUCACCUGAGACUCUAUUAACACUUGCCACAAGCUUUGUCAUCUGUAAUGAUGUCUCAUUAAACCAGCUGUUGAAGCCUAAUAAUAAAAGGUGUGAGGUAAACAGAGGUAAA